RNAcentral lists this ribosomal RNA (481 nucleotides) under uncultured bacterium. RNAcentral describes it as "partial 16S ribosomal RNA". It matches the Rfam family "Bacterial small subunit ribosomal RNA", at positions 28 to 507 of the family's 1533-position model. The record is from RNAcentral.
GAUGAACGCUGGCGGCGUGCCUAACACAUGCAAGUCGAACGGAGAUUACGGACGGAAGUUUUCGGAUGGAAGACUGUAAUUCUUAGUGGCGGACGGGUGAGUAACGCGUGGGCAACCUGCCCCAUACAGGGGGAUAGCAGCUGGAAACGGCUGGUAAGACCGCAUAAGUCGGUUAAAUCGCAUGAUCUGUUCUGGAAAUGAGCAAUCAGGUAUAGGAUGGGCCCGCGUCCGAUUAGCCAGUUGGCAGGGUAAAAGCCUACCAAAGCGACGAUCGGUAGCCGGGCUGAGAGGUGGGACGGCCACAUUGGGACUGAGACACGGCCCAAACUCCUGCGGGAGGCAGCAGUGGGGGAUAUUGCACAAUGGAGGAAACUCUGAUGCAGCGACGCCGCGUGAGUGAAGAAGUAUUUCGGUAUGUAAAGCUCUAUCAGCAGGGAAGAUGAUGACGGUACCUGAAUAAGAAGCCCCGGCUAACUACGUG